UACGUAGGGGGCUAGCGUUAUCCGGAAUUACUGGGCGUAAAGGGAGCGUAGGCGGACUUUUAAGUGAGAUGUGAAAUACCCGGGCUCAACUUGGGUGCUGCAUUUCAAACUGGAAGUCUAGAGUGCAGGAGAGGAGAAUGGAAUUCCUAGUGUAGCGGUGAAAUGCGUAGAGAUUAGGAAGAACACCAGUGGCGAAGGCGAUUCUCUGGACUGUAACUGACGCUGAGGCUCGAAAGCGUGGGGAGCAAACAGGAUUAGAUACCCCGGUAGUCCCU
This 275-nucleotide ribosomal RNA is filed under the name uncultured prokaryote. Its description in RNAcentral is "partial 16S ribosomal RNA". It matches the Rfam family "Bacterial small subunit ribosomal RNA", at positions 524 to 798 of the family's 1533-position model. The record is from RNAcentral.